RNAcentral lists this ribosomal RNA (371 nucleotides) under uncultured organism. Its description in RNAcentral is "partial 16S ribosomal RNA". It matches the Rfam family "Bacterial small subunit ribosomal RNA", at positions 527 to 896 of the family's 1533-position model. The record is from RNAcentral.
GUAGGGGGCUAGCGUUAUCCGGAAUUAUUGGGCGUAAAGGGUGCGUAGGCGGUCCUACAAGUCAGAGGUGAAAGGCUACGGCUCAACCGUAGUAAGCCUUUGAAACUGUAGGACUUGAGUGCAGGAGAGGAGAGUGGAAUUCCCAGUGUAGCGGUGAAAUGCGUAGAUAUUGGGAGGAACACCAGUUGCGAAGGCGGCUCUCUGGACUGUAACUGACGCUGAGGCACGAAAGCGUGGGGAGCGAACAGGAUUAGAUACCCUGGUAGUCCACGCCGUAAACGAUGAGUACUAGGUGUCGGGGGUUACCCCCCCCCUCGGUGCCGCAGCUAACGCAUUAAGUACUCCGCCUGGGAAGUACGCUCGCAAGAGUG